RNAcentral lists this ribosomal RNA (305 nucleotides) under Goniomonas pacifica. RNAcentral's name for it is "partial Bacterial large subunit ribosomal RNA". It matches the Rfam family "Bacterial large subunit ribosomal RNA", at positions 1963 to 2266 of the family's 2925-position model. Lineage: Eukaryota; Cryptophyceae; Goniomonadida; Goniomonadaceae. The record is from RNAcentral.
AAUUCCUUGUCGGGUAAGUUCCGACCUGCACGAAUGGUGUAACGAUCUGGGCACUGUCUCAACCAUGAGCUCGGUGAAAUUGUAGUCUCGGUGAAGAUGCCGGGUACCCGCAACGGGACGAAAAGACCCCGUGCACCUUUACUAUAGCUUCGCAUUGAAUUUGGGUAAAUGAUGUGUAGGAUAGGUGGGAGACGUUGAUGCGGCCACGCUAGUGGUGGUGGAGUCGUUGUUGAAAUACCACUCUGAUCGUAUUGGAUACCUCAACCUCGGACCAUGAUCUGGUUCAGGGACAGUGCCUGAUGGGU